RNAcentral lists this transfer RNA (72 nucleotides) under Ictidomys tridecemlineatus (thirteen-lined ground squirrel). RNAcentral describes it as "Spermophilus tridecemlineatus (thirteen-lined ground squirrel) tRNA". It matches the Rfam family "tRNA". Rfam says of the family: Transfer RNA (tRNA) molecules are approximately 80 nucleotides in length. The record is from Rfam by way of RNAcentral. RNAcentral also lists the same sequence under 1 other name. Lineage: Eukaryota; Metazoa; Chordata; Mammalia; Rodentia; Sciuridae.
GGGGACAUAGUUGAGUGGUAGAACACUUGCUUAGCAUGCAAGAGGCCCUGGGUAUAACCCACAGUACCACUA